RNAcentral lists this long non-coding RNA (6823 nucleotides) under Mytilus galloprovincialis (Mediterranean mussel). The record is from RNAcentral. Lineage: Eukaryota; Metazoa; Mollusca; Bivalvia; Mytilida; Mytilidae.
CAUUCCUUUCCAAAAGAAAUGUCAUAUUGAUAAGGCCGUUUAUGACGUUUAUGGUGGGUAUUUUAAUUCAUUUAUUAUCGAUAUAAAACAGCUACAAUUUACCCCCGCCAAACUCAUAAAUGCAUACAAAAUAUUUUGAAUUAUUAAUGUGUACUUUAAUUUGUUAAUUUUAGCUUUAUUUUCAUUUUGUCAACUUUCGUUUUGAACAAUAUUUUCUAGAAGAUAUGUUAAUAUGAACAAUGUUUUAUACGUAGGUCUUGAUAUCUUCGGACAACUUCAUUUGAAGGGGUAUUAAACUUAUGCAACGUAUACACUGUCUCCAGUAUGGUCAAUACUUGUAGACAACAAAAAAUAAAGAUAAAUGUGCUUCUGGACUUAAAACUAUACGAAUACUUUUGAAUGUUCAAAAUAUGUAUUGAUAUGAUGUAUAAAAAUACCAAUUCCUCUAGGUUUUCUAGAACAAAUUCAUCUUUAUCCAAAAUGCAUGUUUCACAUAACAUUUUAAAUUGGUGUUAAUAGUUUAUUGCAUAUUUAUCAGUUUGUACUUUUGGAGGAUGUUUAAUUAUUCUGAUCUUACAUAAUGUUUGCCUACCGAUAAAAUCGUUCGAUUCAAAAUAUUUGUUUGUACAAGAAAACAUUCCAUUGAAAUAUUAGACAAAGUUUUACCCAUAUCUGACUUUAAUUUCCUUCUCUGAUAUCUUUGCACUUAUUGGUAAUUCUUUCAGAUAAGUUAUCCUUUCUUUUUUUACAUAGUUGGCCAACUGGUACAUUAAAGUUUUAAAAGCUUGAUUUUUUCAUUAAAACAUUAAUGCUUAAAAACCAUGUCGUAAGAUUUUAAGAUGAAACUCUUUAUUUCUAACAAAUGCGUCUCAUGAUAAACCAUCCCUUAUAGUAAGUAACUUUGAGCGUGUUGAACGAUAAUGUAUUUUAGUUUGAAUGUCGUCUUCGUAUUAUUUUUUCUCCUAAAGUCAUCAAUAUUAUAUAUUGGGACUAAAUAAUUAGUGUUUAUGUCUACGUUUCAUAUUUUCUUUUUGUCGACUUUGGUUUUUGUAAGUCUAUCGUCGAUUAGAUAUAUGUGUAUCCCAAUAAAAGCCAAUGACAAGCAAAGUAAAUCGUUACAAUGAUUGUUUUUUAUAAUUGAGAGACACACAUAAUUGAUCAUAAUCAACCUAAUUUUAUGACCUUUGGUCACAACCAGAUCAGAGCAAUAAAAAUGUGUUUAAAAAGAAUAAAAGAAAGCAAAAUAAAAGGAUUAUUAGGCAAAUAUUCUAACUAGGUCACAUAAAGCUUUAUUGUAUCUGUUCUAUAUCCAGAUUGAAAUAAUUAUUUCCCGCAGUUUCAACAAUUGUCAAUAGCUAAAAACCCAACUGAACUUAAAUAAGCUUUUGUAUUUAAAAAAUCGAAAUAUUUACAAUCUUAAUAUAGAACUCUUUUCUUAUAAAAUUAUAAAUGAAAAUUCAUAUAAGAAAUGUUGAUCAUCUUCAACUUGAUCCAACAUGCAUGUUUUAGAUAACAGUUUUGCUGAGUGUGAAUUCGCAUUGAUAUAAGACGUGUCACGGUACUUGUCAUCCAACAUUCAUGUAUUUAGUGUGCUGCCCUGUGUUGUUUUACGUGUUCUUUUUUAUUAUUAGGUUAGGAUGUUGAAAUGCACUAUUGUGUUGUUAUUUCUCUGUCCUGAAUGUUGUUUGUUUAUUAUUUGUACUAUCUUCCUGUCAUGUAAUGGUGUCAUUUUAGUGUUAUAUUUAACAUUGUCAUAAAAGUGCGAGGCUUGGCUAGCCUCAAAACCAGGUUCAACCAACCAUUAUUUCAUAAAAAUGUCCUGUACAAAGUCAGGAAAAUGGCAGUUGAUAGCUCAUAGUUUGUUUCUGUGUCUGUUGCAUUGUCGUUUCGUUUUUGUUCACUUCAGUGUUCCUUUAAUUUCGUUGUUUUCCGCAUAGUUGAUGUGUCUCCCUCGGUUUUAGUUUGUAACCCGGAUUUGUGUUCUCAAUCGAUUUAUGACUUUCGAACAGCGGUAUAGUACUGUUGCCUUUAUUUAUAUGUAACUCUUUCUUACAAAUAUGUGUGUCACAUAAUUAAACAUCCUGUGGUAGAUAUGUUGGAACGUUUUACUAUAUUUAACAAUAGUUUUUCACCUUACCGCCUUCUUGUCUUAUUAUUUUCUCUUCAACAUUGUUUACCUUCCUAGAUGUUUCUUUUGUUUAUGAAAUAAUGUAUUGUGGUAACAUGCGAGCAUUAUUAUCAAGUACUAGUAGUAAGUAAAUAGUGUUGUUUAACGCCCUACACAUAUGAACCACGAUCUUUUCACAGGAACUGGGAUCUCAACAUACAAAUCAAAUGUUGAUACAGACGUCUGUCUUGACUCAAGGAACCAACCCCAGACAGAUAUAUAUUGAGUGUUGAAAAAAUCCCGUACAUAAAUUAUAGGAAAAUCAUGGCACAUUCACGUAUUUUCCAGAUAUAAGCAACGCACACAGUCUCUACAAUAACUCUUAACCACAAGAGAUCAUUCAUACAUGGAUGAUAACUUGUUAUACCGUCCGACAUUAAAAAGAAUGUAUGACCCAUAUGCAUUGACAGAUAAACUACUACAUAUUAUCAAAUAACCUCCUUAAAAUUAAACCCCAUUGAUAUAGUUAGGAAAAAACUCCUUCCUAAACCCAACCGUGGAUCUGCAUACCUAGUAGUGUUUGUUAUUAGCUUGGUAGUAUUGAUUUGUUCUGAGUUAGCAACUGUUAUAUCAGCCAUGCAGCAACUUCCGGUUUGCCGCGAUAGCUUUAUAUUUUACAACACGUGAUGUACAAGGAAUAUUAUAGUCAAGCUCUUCUUCGCAUAUAUGAUUGAUUAAUAUUUGAUCCUGAAGUAGAUUAUGUUGAGUAAUUUUUAUAUGUACCAUUCAUCCAGAAAGUUUACUUCAAUCAUUGUGCUUGUAAUCCAUUCGUCAUACUUUUCUUGGCUUUCAUAGAAAACAAAUAUCAAUUAUUCUUCGGUGUUCAUGUAACCUCCAGCAGUUGUAUGCAAAGCGACGCAAGUCCAAACCAUUUGAACCAGUCCAUGCGAAAAAGUACCCCAAAAAAAUACGGAAUUCUAAAACGUAUGCAUAAUUAUUGCUAGCAGACAUGUGAUUUAUAAAACACAUUUACUUUUCCUCAUAUCCUAAAGCUGUAAGCUAUACCCAUCAUGAAGUGCUGAGCCCCCCCCCCCCCCCCCCGCCCUUUGUUUUAUUAAGAUUUUAAAUGAACUAUUUCAUAUAUUGCAAUCCUUUUCAAAGCACAAUUUAAAUGUUUUAAUUUGCCAAUUGAUAAUGUUAACUCCGGCUGCAGUGUGGACAAUGCUCUCGCAUACUUUGCCGAUAUAAAUGCAAUCAAACCGGACAACGAUUCGAAUUCCGUACAAGGACGGUUGAUCUAUAUAAUAUAAUAUUAAAUAACUUUUAAUAACUUAACUUAAAUUUAAAUUUUAAUUUCUUAAACACAAGAUGACAUAGUUUUUGUAUUUUCCCUCAUGUUUUAAUGUUGUCUUACUUUCUUUAAAACUGUAGAACUGAUUAAAAUUAAUGACUUUUUGUCUAUAUAGUGUCGCAAUUUUUUAAAGUUUCUGGUCAGUAUAGUAUUAGUCCGGGGAACAAAUAAUUUUACACUUGCUCAAAAACCAUAAAAUAAGAUAUUUCUACGUCUUUUUCUGUUUUAAUUGACAAAUACGGUAUAGAAUAGACAAUUGUAUAAAUGUUUACAUUCAUGUAUUUUUGUUCGGAUAAAAUCGUUUUUCAAAAUUAUUUUAUAUAAGAAACUUUAAUAACGUGUCCUAUUAAGUUUGUCUAAAGGACUUUUUGUACCUUUUCGCAUGGACUGGAUCAUUUGUUAUGUUUUUGGCUAUUGCAAUGUUUGUUAAAUUGUACAUCCGAUUGUUUUCUCCUUGUUAAUGUCCUCUCACACCAACAAGAAGGAAACUUAGGUACACAUAAACGCACAUUGUGAUGUGCCCUAUAUUAAAUUAUAUAACACAAUCUAUUUUUUUUAUUCUAAUUUCAUGGUCCACUGAACACAGACAUGUGUUAAGGCGAGCGGCACAUGAUUUUUAAUAAAUAGACACAGGUUUGUUUUAUUUCAUUCUUUGAAUUUUUCCAACUUGACGUUAACCUAACCGUUAGGUAAAACAAAUUUAAUUAUAAACCUAUGGUAGUUACCUAUCAGAAUACAAUGUAUCCAUACAUCUUUUACAUAAACCUUUUUGUUAUAUUUUGCAGAAUCAUGGCCAGUAAUUUGAGAAUUUGUGGUGUAUGUGAUAAUAGUCAGAUAAGCAAACCAUCGGUAGUCUGGUGUUCGGAUUGUGAUGAAGGACUUUGCGGCGAUUGUAAGGAACAUCAUAGUAUUUCAAAGGGAACAAAAGACCACAAAACCGUUGCAAUUGCCGAAUACGGGAAGCUGUCAACCGAAGUCCUGCAAAAUGCAACAGUUUGUAAAUUACAUAGUGAGAAAUACGAGCUUUUCUGUAGCAGACAUGAUUGUCCAUGCUGCAAGAAAUGUUUAAAAUCUCAUACCGAUUGUCAAGCUUUAACCGACAUUAAAACAAUCAUAAAAAACAUCAAAACGUCGAAUGCCUUGUAUGAAAUCGAACAAAACUUGCAUGAAAUUGUCAAAAAUAUCAAACUAAUUACGGUCAAUCGAAAUGAAAAUUUAACAUUGCUAGAAAAGAAGAAAAGAGAUAUUGAAGCAGAGAUAAAACAAACUAGGACUGAGAUAAAUCGUCAUCUUGAUAAACUUCAAGAUGAUUUGAUGAAAGAAGUUAUUGCAGUUGAAGAAAAAGAAAGAAGUAAAAUACAAAAGUUGUUGAACUCUCUCAGCACGAAGGAAAAAGAGAUCAUAGAAUACCAAGGUAUAGUUGCUAACAUCAAACUACAUGCGUCCGAACUGCAAACAUAUUUGGUAUUGAAACAUAUUGAAAAAGAAAUUUCAGCAAAAGAAAAAUAUACUCAAUCGAUUGCAAUCGACACCAAGAGUCAAACCAACAUUUUAUUCCAAAUGAACCAAACUUUACAGGAACUCACGUUCAGCGUGCAUAAGUUUGGCGAUAUCACUGUCAGUUCUGAUCAAUGCGAUUCGUUGAUUCAGAACCAGAAGCACAGACAAGCCCAGAUAAUCAUAGCAUUUACAACCAGAAAAAUAGACAACCUUACUCUGACGUUAAAGACACGCAUCUCUACAGAUAUUUUUAACGCCAGUGGUUGUUCUGCGCUGCCUGACGGUAGGAUGAUACUAACCUGUGCUUACAGACAGAAGAUAUUAGUACUCACAUCUGACGGUUCAAAGGAUUUCGAAAUAAACAAAAUAGGUGACACGUUUGAUGUUGCAUUUAUUGGUGAUGAAUCGGUUGCCGUUACAUCAGGCUAUACAGAUCAGAUUAAGAUAAUCGACAUAAAGACGAAACAAGUGAAAAAAGCAAUUAAAGUUAAUAAAGAAAAUCAUGGAGUAGUGUGCAAGGAUGAACAUUUGAUUUAUUGUGCAGGUAACAGUGGCUUGAAGAUGAUUAGGUUAAACGAUGAAUCCAUUACCUUUAUUUCCUUCAACAAACUAUCACAAUAUGCAUACGUUACAACAUUUGGUGACAAACUGUUCUACACAGACCCACACAAUCACCGUGUAAUAUGUUGUGAUUUCCACGGUAAAAUACUGUGGACGUUCCGUAACUCCCUUGUUCUUGGGUGUCCUUAUGCUAUUUCAGUAGACAUUGAUGGUAUCGUGUUUGUAGUGGGAAGGAUAACUCAUAAUGUGGUCGCCUUCUCUCCUGAUGGACAACACUUUAAACAAAUUUUAUCAUCCGACGAUGGACUGAACUAUCCGCAGGCUUUGCAUUAUGACCAAGCUAACAAUACACUGUUGGUUGCAAAUCAAAUGCAAAAAGCGUGGUUGUAUGAUGUUAAAUGGUAAAUAGCGAUGUUUGAUAUUUUAUGUAUUCAGCUUUAAAAUAAAGUCUUUCGCGGUUCUGAUUUUUUUCAAAAUUACAUGUCUGAUAUGCUUAUUGAAACUCAAUAUAUAUAUAUAUUUGGUGCAUAUAGUACCAGGUACAAGUUCAUUAAUCAGCAACCGUGUAUUGUUUUAUUAACAUUUUUAAAGAAAAAUCAAAAUGUUAAUGUCAACGUUUCAUAUUUUUCUUUUUGUCGACUUUGUUUUUUUUAAGUCUGUUGUCGACGGUUGGUAAAGUGUUCAGCUAGGAUCGAGGUUUUUCGAGUGAUUUGAUCGGGCUUUUUCGAGUGUGAUCACUUUUUGUCGAGUGAAUAAGAACACAAAUGUAAACAAACAGACUUCAUUUCUAACAAGACGUGAUAUAGACGCUUGUGUUUAAUAUACAAAGUUAUAUUAUGUACGAUAGUAUUUGAUAUAGAAAGAUAUUACUAACCCGACAUCAUUUUUCGUUAAAAAAGUUAAAAUUAGCAUUAAAAUGCUUUAAUUCCAAAAUACAGAGUAAAUCCGCUUUUAUACACAUAACACUAGCUGCUAAAGCUGAAGGAAAUUCAUACGUGAAAUCUAUAUAUCAUUAGAAAUACAGACACUUUGCACAAAUUCUUGUAAUUUCAUUGAAAACGACAUUUUGACACUAAAUUUAUUUAUUAAUGUUCGGGUUUUUUUCGAGAGCAGUCUGGGCUUUUCGUGUGUGUCCAAUUUUUUUUGAGUGAUUAAACAAAUUGCCUAUAGUUUAAAAUGCUAUUUUUUCAGUGUAUUUACGAUUAAAAAUGAUAAACAAAGUUUCAAGUACUUUUCCAGGCAUGAACCAUAGUAUCCGUCAGAUUGAUAAUGGUGUUCUAACACUUACAUGUUAUAAAUAUUCG